UGAGUUUUAUUCACAAAACUUGGUGAACCAAAUCAAUAUUUCAUCAGAGUCAUCAAAACAGUUUCACACACCAAGAUGAGUAUGAGUAUUCAGACACGUUUAAAAGUUCACACGUUCUACUGUUGGGGAUCCCGGCCAGCUAAACAAUUGGUUUAGCUUUCCUUCCCGAAGGAAGUAUCAUACUUUACUUCACAAAGGAAGCAUCACACACAGAACAAAU
This 220-nucleotide long non-coding RNA is filed under the name Daucus carota (carrot). RNAcentral's name for it is "long non-coding RNA (DCAR_LNC002724)". Lineage: Eukaryota; Viridiplantae; Streptophyta; Magnoliopsida; Apiales; Apiaceae. The record is from RNAcentral.